GGCGGUUCUCAGGUGGCGCACCCCGGAAUCGGGCUCCCUCCUCUCUGGUUCCGGGUGCCAGGUCACCACAGCUCAGCA
Molecule: non-coding RNA, 78 nt
Organism: Myotis lucifugus (little brown bat)
Lineage: Eukaryota; Metazoa; Chordata; Mammalia; Chiroptera; Vespertilionidae
Source: Rfam